RNAcentral lists this ribosomal RNA (498 nucleotides) under uncultured bacterium. Its description in RNAcentral is "partial 16S ribosomal RNA". It matches the Rfam family "Bacterial small subunit ribosomal RNA", at positions 28 to 507 of the family's 1533-position model. The record is from RNAcentral.
GACGAACGCUGGCGGCGUGCCUAAUACAUGCAAGUCGAGCGGACGGAUGGGAGCUUGCUCCCAGACCGUCAGCGGCGGACGGGUGAGUAACACGUGGGCAACCUGCCUGUAAGACUGGGAUAACUCCGGGAAACCGGGGCUAAUACCGGAUAACUCUUUCCCUCCCAUGAGGGAAAGCUGAAAGAUGGCAUCUCGCUAUCACUUACAGAUGGGCCCGCGGCGCAUUAGCUAGUUGGUGAGGUAACGGCUCACCAAGGCGACGAUGCGUAGCCGACCUGAGAGGGUGAUCGGCCACACUGGGACUGAGACACGGCCCAGACUCCUACGGGAGGCAGCAGUAGGGAAUCUUCCGCAAUGGACGAAAGUCUGACGGAGCAACGCCGCGUGAGUGAUGAAGGUUUUCGGAUCGUAAAACUCUGUUGUCAGGGAAGAACAAGUACCGGAGUAACUGCCGGUACCUUGACGGUACCUGACCAGAAAGCCACGGCUAACUACGUG